AGUGAACGCUGGCGGUAGGCCUAACACAUGCAAGUCGAACGGCAGCACAGUAAGAGCUUGCUCUUACGGGUGGCGAGUGGCGGACGGGUGAGGAAUACAUCGGAAUCUACUUUUUCGUGGGGGAUAACGUAGGGAAACUUACGCUAAUACCGCAUACGACCUACGGGUGAAAGCAGGGGAUCUUCGGACCUUGCGCGAUUGAAUGAGCCGAUGUCGGAUUAGCUAGUUGGCGGGGCAAAGGCCCACCAAGGCGACGAUCCGUAGCUGGUCUGAGAGGAUGAUCAGCCACACUGGAACUGAGACACGAUCCAGACUCCUACGGGAGGCAGCAGUGGGGAAUAUUGGACAAUGGGCGCAAGCCUGAUCCAGCCAUACCGCGUGGGUGAAGAAGGCCUUCGGGUUGUAAAGCCCUUUUGUUGGGAAAGAAAAGCAGCAGGUUAAUACCCCGCUGUUCUGACGGUACCCAAAGAAUAAGCACCGGCUAACUUCGUG
RNAcentral lists this ribosomal RNA (492 nucleotides) under uncultured bacterium. RNAcentral's name for it is "partial 16S ribosomal RNA". It matches the Rfam family "Bacterial small subunit ribosomal RNA", at positions 29 to 507 of the family's 1533-position model. The record is from RNAcentral.